GAUGAACGCUGGCGGCGUGCUUAACACAUGCAAGUCGAACGAGAAGUGAAGACGGAAACCUUCGGGCGGAAGGCUUUAUUUCGAGUGGCGGACGGGUGAGUAACGCGUGGGUAACCUGCCUCAUACAGGGGGAUAACAGUUGGAAACGACUGUUAAUACCGCAUAAGACCACAGCACCGCAUGGUGCGGGGGUAAAAACUCCGGUGGUAUGAGAUGGACCCGCGUUCGAUUAGCCAGUUGGCGGGGUAACGGCCCACCAAAGCGACGAUCGAUAGCCGAUCUGAGAGGAGGACCGGCCACAUUGGGACUGAGACACGGCCCAAACUCCUACGGGAGGCAGCAGUGGGGAAUAUUGCACAAUGGGGGAAACCCUGAUGCAGCGACGCCGCGUGAGUGAAGAAGUAUUUCGGUAUGCAAAGCUCUAUCAGCAGGGAAGAAAAUGACGGUACCUGAGGAAGAAGCCCCGGCUAACUACGUG
Molecule: ribosomal RNA, 478 nt
Filed under: uncultured bacterium
Lineage: Bacteria
Description: partial 16S ribosomal RNA
Rfam family: Bacterial small subunit ribosomal RNA
Source: RNAcentral